RNAcentral lists this transfer RNA (63 nucleotides) under Podulmorinus opacus. RNAcentral's name for it is "tRNA-Arg". Lineage: Eukaryota; Metazoa; Arthropoda; Insecta; Hemiptera; Cicadellidae. The record is from RNAcentral.
AACAAAGAAGUAAAAUAUACAAUUAGUUUCGACCUAAAAUUAAAGAGCUUGUUCUUCAUGUUU